GAACGCUGGCGGUAUGCUUAACACAUGCAAGUCGAACGGACUCAGGGAGCUUGCUCCCAAAAGUUAGUGGCAGACGGGUGAGUAACGCGUGGGAAUCUGCCUAUCAGUAGGGAAUAACAUUUGGAAACAAAUGCUAAUACCCUAUACGCUCUUCGGAGGAAAGAUUUAUCGCUGAUAGAUGAGCCCGCGUCAGAUUAGGUAGUUGGUAGGGUAAUGGCCUACCAAGCCGACGAUCUGUAGCUGGUCUGAGAGGAUGAUCAGCCACACUGGGACUGAGACACGGCC
This 285-nucleotide ribosomal RNA is filed under the name uncultured Rickettsiales bacterium. RNAcentral's name for it is "partial 16S ribosomal RNA". It matches the Rfam family "Bacterial small subunit ribosomal RNA", at positions 31 to 331 of the family's 1533-position model. The record is from RNAcentral. Lineage: Bacteria; Pseudomonadati; Pseudomonadota; Alphaproteobacteria; Rickettsiales.